AAUUGAAGAGUCUGAUCAUGGCUCAGAUUGAACGUUGGCGGCAGGUCUCAUACAUGCAAGUCGAACGAGGCGCCGGCUUCGGCCGGAACCUAGUGGCGAACGGGUGAGUAACGCGUAGGAAUCUACCUAGUAGUGAGGAAUAACUCGAGGAAACUCGAGCUAAUACCGCAUACGACCUGAGGGUGAAAGCGGGGGCUUUUCGGACCUCGCGCUAUUAGCGGAGCCUGCGUUGGAUUAGCUUGUUGGUGGGGUAAUGGCCUACCAAGGCAACGAUCCAUAGCUGGUCUGAGAGGAUGAUCAGUCACACUGGAACUGAGACACGGUCCAGACUUCUACGGAAGGCAGCAGUAAAGAAUAUUGCGCAAUGGGCGAAAGCCUGACGCAGCCAUGCCGCGUGUGUGAAGAAGGCCUUUGGGUUGUAAAGCACUUUCAGUAGUGAGGAAAAGCGAACUGCUAAUACCAGUUCGUCAUGACAUUAGCUACAGAAGAAGCACCGGCUAACUCCGUGCCAGCAGCCGCGGUAAUACGGAGGGUGC
Molecule: ribosomal RNA, 536 nt
Filed under: Gammaproteobacteria bacterium
Lineage: Bacteria; Pseudomonadati; Pseudomonadota; Gammaproteobacteria
Description: bacterial SSU rRNA
Rfam family: Bacterial small subunit ribosomal RNA
Source: RNAcentral